AAGGCGACGAUGCGUAGCCGACUUGAGAGGGUGAUCGGCCACACUGGGACUGAGACACGGCCCAGACUCCUACGGGAGGCAGCAGUAGGGAAUCUUCCGCAAUGGACGAAAGUCUGACGGAGCAACGCCGCGUGAGUGAUGAAGGUUUUCGGAUCGUAAAACUCUGUUGUUAGGGAAGAACAAGUAUCGUUCGAAUAGGGCGGUACCUUGACGGUACCUAACCAGAAAGCCACGGCUAACUACGUGCCAGCAGCCGCGGUAAUACGUAGGUGGCAAGCGUUGUCCGGAAUUAUUGGGCGUAAAGCGCGCGCAGGCGGUUUCUUAAGUCUGAUGUGAAAUCUUGCGGCUCAACCGCAAGCGGCCAUUGGAAACUGGGAGACUUGAGUGCAGAAGAGGAGAGUGGAAUUCCACGUGUAGCGGUGAAAUGCGUAGAGAUGUGGAGGAACACCAGUGGCGAAGGCGACUCUCUGGUCUGUAACUGACGCUGAGGCGCGAAAGCGUGGGGAGCGAACAGGAUUAGAUACCCUGGUAGUCCACGCCGUAAACGAUGAGUGCUAAGUGUUAGAGGGUUUCCGCCCUUUAGUGCUGCAGCUAACGCAUUAAGCACUCCGCCUGGGGAGUACGGCCGCAAGGCUGAAACUCAAAGGAAUUGACGGGGGCCCGCACAAGCGGUGGAGC
This 678-nucleotide ribosomal RNA is filed under the name Escherichia coli. RNAcentral's name for it is "bacterial SSU rRNA". It matches the Rfam family "Bacterial small subunit ribosomal RNA", at positions 270 to 938 of the family's 1533-position model. Lineage: Bacteria; Pseudomonadati; Pseudomonadota; Gammaproteobacteria; Enterobacterales; Enterobacteriaceae. The record is from RNAcentral.